Molecule: ribosomal RNA, 468 nt
Filed under: uncultured bacterium
Lineage: Bacteria
Description: partial 16S ribosomal RNA
Rfam family: Bacterial small subunit ribosomal RNA
Source: RNAcentral
GACGAACGCUGGCGGCGUGCUUAACACAUGCAAGUCGAACGGAAAGGCCCUGCUUUUGUGGGGUGCUCGAGUGGCGAACGGGUGAGUAACACGUGAGUAACCUGCCCUUGACUUUGGGAUAACUUCAUGAAACUGGGGCUAAUACCGGAUAGGAGCUCCUGCUGCAUGGUGGGGGUUGGAAAGUUUCGGCGGUUGGGGAUGGACUCGCGGCUUAUCAGCUUGUUGGGGGGGUAGUGGCUUACCAAGGCUUUGACGGGUAGCCGGCAUGAGAGGGGGACCGGCCACAUUGGGACUGAGAGACGGCCCAGACUCCUACGGGAGGCAGCAGUGGGGAAUAUUGCACAAUGGGCGGAAGCCUGAUGCAGCAACGCCGCGUGCGGGAUGACGGCCUUCGGGUUGUAAACCGCUUUCGCCUGUGACGAAGCGUGAGUGACGGUAAUGGGUAAAGAAGCACCGGCUAACUACGUG